Molecule: ribosomal RNA, 253 nt
Filed under: uncultured bacterium
Lineage: Bacteria
Description: partial 16S ribosomal RNA
Rfam family: Bacterial small subunit ribosomal RNA
Source: RNAcentral
GACAGAGGGGGCAAGCGUUGCUCGGAAUCACUGGGCGUAAAGGGCGCGUAGGCGGGAUGGCAAGUCGGUCGUGAAAUCUCUCGGCUCAACCGAGAAACGUCGGCCGAUACUGCCGUUCUUGAGGGAUGCAGAGGAGACUGGAAUUCCCGGUGUAGCGGUGAAAUGCGUAGAGAUCUGGAAGAACACCAAAGGCGAAGGCAGCGUCCUGGGAAGCAUCUGACGCUCAGGUGCGAAAGCUAGGGGAGCGAACGGG